This 86-nucleotide transfer RNA is filed under the name Puccinia graminis f. sp. tritici CRL 75-36-700-3. RNAcentral's name for it is "tRNA-Gln". The record is from RNAcentral. Lineage: Eukaryota; Fungi; Basidiomycota; Pucciniomycetes; Pucciniales; Pucciniaceae.
GGGUCUGUAGCCUAGUUGGUAAAGGAAGCAUUCUGGUAUGCGACUCAGCAUUGCUGAGGUUGUGAGUUCAAAUAUCACCAGACACA